GACGAACGCUGGCGGCGUGCUUAACACAUGCAAGUCGAACGGGAUCCAUGAGAGCUUGCUCUCGGAAGAUCUAGUGGCGAACGGGUGAGUAACACGUGAGGAACCUGCCCUUCACUGGGGAAUAACUCGGGGAAACUCGAGCUAAUACCGCAUACCUUCCACUGGUCGCAUGGCCGGCAGAAGAAAGAUUUAUCGGUGAUGGAGGGCCUCGCGGCCUAUCAGCUUGUUGGUGGGGUAACGGCCCACCAAGGCAACGACGGGUAGCUGGUCUGAGAGGACGAUCAGCCACACUGGAACUGAGACACGGUCCAGACUCCUACGGGAGGCAGCAGUGGGGAAUCUUGCGCAAUGGGCGAAAGCCUGACGCAGCAACGCCGCGUGCGGGAUGACAGCCUUCGUGGUUGUAAACCGCUUUCAGCAGGGACGAAAAUGACGGUACCUGCAGAAGAAGCUCCGGCUAACUACGUGCCAGCCGCCGCCGUAA
Molecule: ribosomal RNA, 484 nt
Filed under: uncultured bacterium
Lineage: Bacteria
Description: partial 16S ribosomal RNA
Rfam family: Bacterial small subunit ribosomal RNA
Source: RNAcentral